UUUCUACGGCGUAAAGAGCUGCAGGAAGAGCGACAGCCCGAAGCUAAACCUCGUUUUGACCAAAAAAAAAGCUAAACCUCGGGAAGUGAUGGCGGCGUCUUUGUUCCGGCGAGUUUCGUCCCACCUGGCGCUUCUUCCUCGUCCUUUCCUUCCCUCCGUCUCUCUCGAGAAUCCCUUCUCCCAGGGCUCAUGGCCGUCCCCAAAAAAAAGGUUUCCCGCCAUAAGAAGGGAUUAAGGAAUGGACCGAAGGCUCUGAAACCUGUUCCGGUUAUUGUCCAAUGCAAGAGUUGCGGUCGAGUUAAGCUGCCUCACUUCUACUGCUGCAGUGGGGAGAGAGGGAGCAGUGGUCCCUCCAGUUGAUAAAACAAUUCUUCGUAAUGAUAAAAAUCAGCAUGCUCGAUGAAAUCUGAGAAUCUUGACAUUAUCAAAACUAAUAUUGGAAAUUUAUUUUCUUGUAGCAGAUAGGAUAUGGAUGGAAGGCCUGGCAUGUUACCAAUAGUCCUCUUAAGCACAACUCUGCUUCAGGUUCAGAGUUGCUUCCAUUAGUCAUAUGGAUGUUCAUGUGCAAAUUUCUGAUUUUCCAUUUGAAGGGAAGAUGCUCAGUGUCUCUGGCAUGUUUAUUAUUAGUGAUCAUGUUUUGUGUUUCAAUUUCAUUUCCUGGUGUACUUGGUAUAGGAAUGGAUGGCCAUUUAUCUUUGUUGUCCUCAACUUUGCUUUUCUUUUGAUAUUGAUAUCCUGGAUUGUUAUCACUUCCUGUUCUUUUUUCCAUGGCUAGGCAACUUCUAGUUAGAUGUCUUGUGAAAGAAAGGAUGUAGUUCCAUUCAUUCAACACAUGGGUAACUGUAUGAUCUCAUGGAGCAAAGAUGACCUCCGUGCUAUGUGUUGCAUGGUGAAGUGCUCUUCCAAUUCUGGCAGCAAAGACAACUGUUACCACUGUGUACUAAUAAUCGGAUUAAGUUGUGUUUGCAAUCAAGUGAAAGCUGAAUAAAGAUUGAUUGAGAGGUAGCACACAAAAAGUAGAUGUAUUGUUUAAGAGGUUUCUGGAGAGAUUUUGGAUGCCAGUCUUCCAAGUAGCUUGGGAAAGAAAAAAUCAAUAGAGCUAAACCUGCUGGAUCGGAUCCCUUUUCAAAUGAUGUCAGCUACUAGAUUUCAGAUUCAGGCCUAAACGCCUGAUUUCUACGCUGUAUAAACUUAUUGCUAAGAUUAUUGUCAGCAUAUUGAAACCUUAACUGCCUAUUACUAUUGCCCCAGAGCAAACAGAUUUUGUUGCAUCACGAUCUAUUUUUGAUCAUAUUUUACUGGCACAGGAAGUUCUUCGCACUCCGGAAACUC
Molecule: non-coding RNA, 1332 nt
Organism: Phoenix dactylifera (date palm)
Lineage: Eukaryota; Viridiplantae; Streptophyta; Magnoliopsida; Arecales; Arecaceae
Source: RefSeq, a predicted model, not a curated record